This 245-nucleotide unclassified non-coding RNA is filed under the name uncultured Chloroflexota bacterium. RNAcentral's name for it is "uncultured Chloroflexi bacterium contains 16S-23S intergenic spacer region". Lineage: Bacteria; Bacillati; Chloroflexota. The record is from RNAcentral.
UCCGGUUUGUCACCGGCAGUCUCCCUUUCGGGGUUCUACUUCCAGCAUGUCAAACCUAGGUGAGGUUCUUCGCGUUGCAUCGAAUUAAACCACACGCUCCGCUGCUUGUGCGGGCCCCCGUCAAUUCCUUUGAGUUUUAGCCUUGCGGCCGUACUCCCCAGGCAGGGCACUUAAUGCGUUAGCUGCGGCACCGGAGGGGUCGAUACCCCCGACGCCUAGUGCCCACCGUUUACGGCGUGGACUAC